RNAcentral lists this ribosomal RNA (253 nucleotides) under uncultured bacterium. Its description in RNAcentral is "partial 16S ribosomal RNA". It matches the Rfam family "Bacterial small subunit ribosomal RNA", at positions 524 to 776 of the family's 1533-position model. The record is from RNAcentral.
UACAGAGACUGCGAGCGUUAUUCGGAUUCACUGGGCGUAAAGCGUGCGCAGGCGGCUUCUCAAGUCAGGGGUGAAAGCCCAGAGCUCAACUCUGGAAUUGCCUUUGAGACUGAGUGGCUUGAGUACGAGAGAGGUGAGUGGAAUUCCCAGUGUAGAGGUGAAAUUCGUAGAUAUUGGGAAGAACACCGGUGGCGAAGGCGGCUCACUGGCUCGUAACUGACGCUCAUGCACGACAGCGUGGGGAUCAAACAGG